RNAcentral lists this ribosomal RNA (427 nucleotides) under uncultured bacterium. RNAcentral describes it as "bacterial SSU rRNA". It matches the Rfam family "Bacterial small subunit ribosomal RNA", at positions 355 to 774 of the family's 1533-position model. The record is from RNAcentral.
UGGGGAAUUUUGGACAAUGGGCGCAAGCCUGAUCCAGCCAUGUCGCGUGCAGGAUGAAGGCCUUCGGGUUGUAAACUGCUUUUGUACGGAACGAAAAGGUGCCUUCUAAUAAAGGGCGCUCAUGACGGUACCGUAAGAAUAAGCACCGGCUAACUACGUGCCAGCAGCCGCGGUAAUACGUAGGGUGCGAGCGUUAAUCGGAAUUACUGGGCGUAAAGCGUGCGCAGGCGGUUUUGUAAGACAGAGGUGAAAUCCCCGGGCUCAACGUGGGAACUGCCUUUGUGACUGCAAGGCUGGAGUGCGGCAGAGGGGGAUGGAAUUCCGCGUGUAGCAGUGAAAUGCGUAGAUAUGCGGAGGAACACCGAUGGCGAAGGCAAUCCCCUGGGCCUGCACUGACGCUCAUGCACGAAAGCGUGGGGAGCAAACA